CCUACGGGGGGCUGCAGUGGGGAAUAUUGGACAAUGGGCGAAAGCCUGAUCCAGCCAUGCCGCGUGUGUGAAGAAGGCCUUCGGGUUGUAAAGCACUUUCAGUGGGGAAGAAAGCCUUGGGGCUAAUACCCUCGAGGAAGGACAUCACCCACAGAAGAAGCACCGGCUAACUCCGUGCCAGCAGCCGCGGUAAUACGGAGGGUGCGAGCGUUAAUCGGAAUUACUGGGCGUAAAGCGCGCGUAGGCGGUCUGAUAAGCCGGUUGUGAAAGCCCCGGGCUCAACCUGGGAACGGCAUCCGGAACUGUCAGGCUAGAGUGCAGGCGAGGAAGGUAGAAUUCCCGGUGUAGCGGUGAAAUGCGUAGAGAUCGGGAGGAAUACCAGUGGCGAAGGCGGCCUUCUGGACUGACACUGACGCUGAGGUGCGAAAGCGUGGGUAGCAAACAGGAUUAGAUACCCUGGUAGUC
RNAcentral lists this ribosomal RNA (465 nucleotides) under Vreelandella stevensii. RNAcentral describes it as "partial 16S ribosomal RNA". It matches the Rfam family "Bacterial small subunit ribosomal RNA", at positions 338 to 795 of the family's 1533-position model. The record is from RNAcentral. Lineage: Bacteria; Pseudomonadati; Pseudomonadota; Gammaproteobacteria; Oceanospirillales; Halomonadaceae.